CGCCUGUUUAACAAAAACAUUUCUUUUUGAUUAUAUAAAAAGUAUUUUCUGCCCAAUGAUAUUUAUUUAAAUGGCCGCAGUAUACUAACUGUGCAAAGGUAGCAAAAUAAUUAGUUUCUUAAUUAGAAGCUAGAAUGAAUGGAUAUAUGUGAUAUAUAUUUUAUUAGGUUUAAAAUUAAAAUUUUAAUUUUGGGUUAAAAUGCUCAAUUUCUUUUUAGGGACGAUAAGACCCUAUAGAACUUUAAAUAUAAUUUAGUUGGUUUUUUUUUUAUAUAAAUUUAUUAAAUUUUAUUUUUAGUUGGGGUGACAGUUAAAUUUUAACUUUAAUUUUGAUAAUCAUUAUUUUAUGUAGUUUUUGAUCCAUAUAUAUGAUAAUAAGAUAAAGUUACCUUAGGGAUAACAGCGUAAUUUUAGUGGGGAGUUCACAUCUAUACUAAAUUUUGCGACCUCGAUGUUGAAUUAAGAUAAAAAAAAGAAGCAGAAUUCUUUAUGUUUAAGUCUGUUCGACUUUUAAAUUCUUACUUGAUCUGAGUUCAGACCGG
RNAcentral lists this ribosomal RNA (542 nucleotides) under Macrosteles fascifrons (aster leafhopper). RNAcentral describes it as "partial 16S ribosomal RNA". It matches the Rfam family "Bacterial large subunit ribosomal RNA", at positions 1797 to 2619 of the family's 2925-position model. Lineage: Eukaryota; Metazoa; Arthropoda; Insecta; Hemiptera; Cicadellidae. The record is from RNAcentral.